This 69-nucleotide transfer RNA is filed under the name Asicimbex sp. CSCS-Hym-MC0132. RNAcentral describes it as "tRNA-Ala". It matches the Rfam family "tRNA". From Rfam's summary of the family: Transfer RNA (tRNA) molecules are approximately 80 nucleotides in length. Their secondary structure includes four short double-helical elements and three loops (D, anti-codon, and T loops). The record is from RNAcentral. Lineage: Eukaryota; Metazoa; Arthropoda; Insecta; Hymenoptera; Cimbicidae.
AGGAUAAUAGUUAAAAUAACAUUUGAUUUGCAUUCAAAAAUUAUUAAAUUCAAACCUUAAUUUAUCUUA